AGCGGGGUUAUUUUCAGGAAGCUUUCGGGUGGAAUGAACUUAACUUAGCGGCGGACGGGUGAGUAACGCGUGGACAACCUACCCUGUACAGGGGGAUAACAAUGGGAAACCAUUGCUAAUACCCCAUAACACCUUUUAGGGGCAUCCCUUUAAGGUCAAAGAAUUUCGGUACAGGAUGGGUCCGCGUCUGAUUAGCUAGUUGGUGAGGUAAUGGCUCACCAAGGCGACGAUCAGUAGCCGGCCUGAGAGGGUGAACGGCCACACUGGAACUGAGACACGGUCCAGACUCCUACGGGAGGCAGCAGUGGGGAAUUCUACAUUGGGGGCGAAAGCCUGAUGCAGCAACGCCGCGUGAGCGAUGAAGGCUUUCGGGUCGUAAAGCUCUGUCCUAAGGGAAGAUAAUGACGGUACCUUAGGAGGAAGCCCCGGCUAACUACGUGCCAGCAGCCGCGGUAAUACGUAGGGGGCAAGCGUUAUCCGGAAUCAUUGGGCGUAAAGGGUGCGUAGGCGGCCCUAUAGGUCAGAGGUCAAAGGCUACGGCUCAACCGUAGUAAGCCUUUGAAACUGUAGGGCUUGAGUGCAGGAGAGGAGAGUGGAAUUCCUAGUGUAGCGGUGAAAUGCGUAGAUAUUAGGAGGAACACCAGUGGCGAAGGCGACUCUCUGGACUGCAACUGACGCUGAGGCACGAAAGCGUGGGGAGCGAACAGGAUUAGAUACCCUGGUAGUCCACGCCGUAAACGAUGAGUGCUAGGUGUCGGGGGUCGAACCUCGGUGCCGCAGCUAACGCAUUAAGCACUCCGCCUGGGGAGUACGUUCGCAAGAAUGAAACUCAAAGGAAUUGACGGGGACCCGCACAAGCAGCGGAGCAUGUGGUUUAAUUCGAAGCAACGCGAAGAACCUUACCUGGACUUGACAUCCCUCGGACCGCUUUUUAACCAAAGCCUUCCCUUCGGGGACUGAGGUGACAGGUGGUGCAUGGUUGUCGUCAGCUC
Molecule: ribosomal RNA, 992 nt
Filed under: uncultured bacterium
Lineage: Bacteria
Description: bacterial SSU rRNA
Rfam family: Bacterial small subunit ribosomal RNA
Source: RNAcentral